Molecule: long non-coding RNA, 774 nt
Organism: Papaver somniferum (opium poppy)
Lineage: Eukaryota; Viridiplantae; Streptophyta; Magnoliopsida; Ranunculales; Papaveraceae
Exons: 3
Source: RefSeq, a predicted model, not a curated record
AACUCAUUACUCUCUCUAGGUUCUUCGAAUUAGAUUCAGCGGGGAACCCUAAUCGCAAAUGAGAACGAUGAUAAUUUGAUUAAACCCGAACCUUAAAUAUUCUCCAACUUCAAUUCAAUCUAUGUUCAACAAAGUUACUCAACGGAUUAUAAAACCCAAAAUCAAAUGGAUUGAUGUUCCUUUUUUCUAAAACCUGAAAUCUAACGGAGUCUUAUUUAGAUGGACUGAUUUUUCUCCUCUCAACUUCGCAGUAUUAUUUUGCUGUAUCUGAGGUGAAGAAGAAGAUUGUAAUGGAGGUGGUGCGGAUGAGAUAGUGACGGAUGUGGUAGUACCUGAAGUGGAGAAGAGGAGAUAAAAGAGGAUCAAACAGAAAAUAAAUCAAAUACAAAUUCAGUAUCGGUCAUUAAAUAGCAAUCCAAGUAUGUCUACCAGCAACUCGGUGAUGAAGAUUCAUAACUACUGAUGCAGGGGUGUAUUGCGUGGUUGGAUAAAUUGCUUCAUACCUUCUCUCGAACGGAGUUUAACACAUGUAGCAUGAUCGAGACUUUUUAUAAGCUAAACUUGACAAAUCUUGGUAGUUUUUAUAUUAUUCAUGCUAUAUAUUAUUUAGUCAUAAUUUUGUUGAUAACUAUGUAAUGGCCUUUUUAUUUUUUUAUUUGGAUUGGGUAGUCUUUUAUUUUUGAUUUUUUCUUCUCGGAUUCCUGAGUUAUUAUUAUUUAUUUAUUUAUUGAAUAAUUACCUAUAUCAAAUUAUUCAAAUUUAAUUGAACAACUA